Spinacia oleracea (spinach) is the source of this 2193-nucleotide RNA transcript. It is a transcript of the gene named AAA-ATPase At3g50940, with no coding region annotated. The transcript has 4 exons. NCBI's taxonomy places the organism in Eukaryota, Viridiplantae, Streptophyta, Magnoliopsida, Caryophyllales, Amaranthaceae. The record is from RefSeq and is a predicted model, not a curated record.
AUUGGCGGGGAUCAUUUUCCAAACCUCACUUCCUUGAACUUUCUUAUCAACCCAAUGCUAUAAAUACUGCCCAAACUCACACUUUAAAAUUCCAAACACAAACACAUAAUUAACACUCAUUAUCAUUAAUUAAUUAAUUACCCUCUUAAUUACACAACCUCACUUUGUAGAUCUAAUUAACUAGCUACAAUGGCAACGCAAUCAAACAAUAUGGUGGCAGCAAAAUCAAUACUCUCGACAGUAGGCUCUACAGUGGCGGCAGCCAUGGUGGCGCGUUCCAUAAUCAACGACUUCCUCCCCUAUGAAAUCCGCAACUACCUCUUCUCCUCCCUCCACUCCGUCUUCAGCCGGCGGCUUUCGUCGGAAAUCACCAUGAUCAUCGACGAGUUUGACGGCCUCGAAACCAACCAGAUCUUCGAGGCGGCGGAGCUCUUCAUAGGAGCCCGUACUAAGACCACCUCCACCUCCACGUCCGCCACCCGUCUUAAGGUCCGAAAGCCCGAAUCCGAGAAACAAAUCCUGGUCAACGUUGACCGAGAUGAGGAGAUAGUGGAUGAGUUCGAGGGGAUCAAAUUUCGUUGGAUGUUACACUGCCGUACGAUCGAGAGUUCGUACAACCUAAGGGACAUGAACUCCACCCUGAGGUCCGAGGUUCGAGCAUUCCACCUAACAUUCCACAAGAAAUUCAAAGCCAUUGCAUUAGAAAAAUACAUCCCACACAUUCUAAAACAGGCAGAGUUUUUCAAACUAGAGAGGAAGACGAUCAAGCUGUUUACAGUAGACCCGAACAACUUAUACUCGGGCUCGGUAAACGCGUGGAGCUCCAUUAGUCUAAACCACCCGUCCACCUUCGAGACGUUGGCCAUAGACUCCGAUUUAAAGAAGAUGAUCAUCGAGGAUCUCGAGAGGUUCGUGAAGAGGAAGGAGUAUUAUAGACGUGUAGGGAAAGCGUGGAAGAGGGGUUACUUGUUGUACGGGCCUCCGGGUACGGGUAAAUCGAGCUUGAUUGCGGCAAUGGCGAACUACUUGAAUUUUGAUAUAUAUGAUCUUGAAUUGAGUGGGUUAAGGGUGGAUUCGGAGCUCCGAAAUGCGUUGGUGGGUACGGCGAAUAAGUCGAUAGUGGUGGUGGAGGAUAUUGAUUGCUCCAUUGAGUUGAAUAAUAGGGAUAAUAAUGUUGUUGAUUAUGGUGGUGGAUACCAACAAGAAAAGGUAACAUUAUCUGGAUUCCUGAACUUUAUUGAUGGAUUAUGGUCAAGUUGUGGGGAUGAACGAAUCAUAAUAUUUACCACAAACCACAAAGAAAAGUUAGACCCCGCAUUGCUACGUCCUGGAAGAAUGGACGUGCACAUUCACAUGUCUUACUGCACUCCAGGUGGGUUCAAGGUCCUUGCCAACAACUACCUCGGCGUAACGGAUCACGAACUCUUUACAGACAUCGAGAGACUGGUCGAGGAAGCGGAGGCCACCCCGGCGGAGGUGGCCGAGCAAUUAAUGAAGCACGACGAGCCCGAUUCGGCACUAAAAGGGCUAGUUGAGUUCCUCAAACUUAAAAAAGUUGAAGAUGAGGAAGCCAAGGCUUUGAAAUUGGAGGAAGAGUCUAAACCCAAAGAGAAUAUUAAUAAUAAUGAUGAUGAAGAUCAUGGUAUGAAGUUGAUUGAUGAAGAACAAGAUGUUAGCUUAGAUGUUACCAAUAAGUAAAUGCACUUCUAACUCUUAUGCAUGUAUAAUGGAUUGAAGUAUUAAGUAUAUUUAGUGUUCAUUGCUAAGGGUAUAAACGUCUUUGUACAUUAUACACAUUAUAUCUAUAUAUAUACGAGGCCAGACACCCAUCCAUCUAAAGGAACCCAAGUAUCCUCAUUCAUGAGGGGUGGAGCUAGAUCGCGUCGGCGGGGAAGAAGACGGGGUCGUUUCAUCAGAAUGUUUUAGACAAUGAAGGUUAAGGGAAUAAGGCAGGGCAAUGCUAGCUAGGUCUUGGCCGAGGCAAUGUGGAGUGGAGUAGGGCUAGAUGAUACAUAUAUAUUCAAACAUGUGUUUUCUCUUUUUAAUAUUUUGCAUUACGUACCACCUAAGUAAUCCAACUCUACCUGGAAUGAUAAUGGACGAUAGUGAAAAUUCACGAGGAAAAAAAAAAUAGGAUGAACAUGUAUUAUAGGUAUUUCGCAUUCAUAUAUGAUUUUCCAUAUAAAUUUUGAU